RNAcentral lists this unclassified non-coding RNA (456 nucleotides) under uncultured Glomus. Its description in RNAcentral is "SSU rRNA". It matches the Rfam family "Eukaryotic small subunit ribosomal RNA", at positions 569 to 1031 of the family's 1831-position model. Lineage: Eukaryota; Fungi; Glomeromycota; Glomeromycetes; Glomerales; Glomeraceae. The record is from RNAcentral.
AGCAGCUGCGGUAAUUCCAGCUCCAAUAGCGUAUAUUAAAGUUGUUGCAGUUAAAAGCUCGUAGUUGAAUUUCGGGAUCAGUUGGUCGGUCGUGCCUCGGUACGUACUGGUCAAAUUGAUUCCUACCUUCUGACGAACCACGAUGUCAUUAAUUUGGUGUCGCGGGAAAUCAGGACUGUUACUUUGAGAAAAUUAGAGUGUUUAAAGCAGGCUCGCGCUUGAAUACAUUAGCAUGGAAUAAUGAAAUAGGACGUUUGAUUCUAUUUUGUUGGUUUCUAGGAUCGACGUAAUGAUUAAUAGGGAUAGUUGGGGGCAUUAGUAUUCAAUUGUCAGAGGUGAAAUUCUUGGAUUUAUUGAAGACUAACUACUGCGAAAGCAUUUGCCAAGGAUGUUUUCAUUAAUCAAGAACGAAAGUUAGGGGAUCGAAGACGAUCAGAUACCGUCGUAGUCUUAACC